Molecule: microRNA precursor, 75 nt
Organism: Cricetulus griseus (Chinese hamster)
Lineage: Eukaryota; Metazoa; Chordata; Mammalia; Rodentia; Cricetidae
Source: Ensembl
CAGUGCUCUUCUUGGAUUGACACUGGUGAGUUAAACUAUAUACAAUCAGUGUCUUUCUGAGUAGAGGAAGGCUCA